UCUUCAUUCCGCGCGCUCCCUCACCGUUCAGAGAGGCGAGAGAGUGCGUGAAAUGAAGUGA
RNAcentral lists this microRNA precursor (61 nucleotides) under Pristionchus pacificus. RNAcentral's name for it is "mir-8364 microRNA precursor family". It matches the Rfam family "mir-8364 microRNA precursor family". Lineage: Eukaryota; Metazoa; Nematoda; Chromadorea; Rhabditida; Neodiplogasteridae. The record is from Rfam by way of RNAcentral.